CUGAACGAGUUCCACGCGACUCGUUAAACGAGUCAUUAUUCAUUCGUAAUUAAACACACGCUCGAGUAUCGUUGAUAUCAAACUGAACGGUAUAUUAUCGUUUCCUUCUUUUUUUUUUUUGUGUUCUUUUUGAACUAUCAUAAAAAUAUACGCUCAUAGUUUCGUACACAUAUAGUCUUCACAUAUAAAGUGAUACCGAUAAUACACUAUCUUUUGGACAAGGUUAAUCUUCGUUUCCUGUCAUUAGCAAGACAUACAAUCUUGCUGCAAACCAGGUCGCUGUCAUCUGUGGAUAUACAGUUAAAGGAACACUCAAACAGUAAUCUUAAAUUACUUCCGAUAUGACUAAGGCAUCAGUUAUUACCAUAGGAAAAGCUAAGGUAAAAAUCGUUGUAGACGAUGUGUAAGCUGACACUGUAACUAUCAAAUAGCGUUUUUCCAUUUGAUUUAUUACUGUGUAGGAAUUGGAUCAAUUCACCCGAUGUUACUUAUUAUAAAAAAAAAUGGUGUAUUAAAACUAAGUCGAUCAAAGGAUUCUCUAAGAUUGGUGAGACAACUCUUAAUCAAGGAAAAUCAUUAGAUGAAUUGAAAUUGUGACAGCGCAAUAGAAACUAAAGGAAAAAUCACUAUAUGUAUCAGAUCUGAUGGCUGUAGGUAAAGAUACUACAGAUAUAGAAGUCAGCCAUAAAGCAAUGUGUAUGUUGAAUAAAUAUAAAAAAAAUUUUUAAUGAAUAUUAAUGCAUUUUUUUUACACAUAUGGCUGAAAUGGAACUCAGUAAAGUAGUUGGUAAUGUACCAAUUGUAUGCGAACCAUACAAAAUAACUGCAGAAGAGAGGGAACUGAUUUAUAAAAUUGUUGAAGAGUGGAAAAAGGUUGAAAUAGUUGUUGAUACUAAUUCUUCAUACGUAAGUCCAGUUAUUUAUUAUAAUGGAAAAAUCACCGACUAUGUGUUGACUAUAGGAAGCUCAAUACGUAGGUUAAAAAACCAAAUUUCCCUCUAAUGAUCAAGUUGGAUCCUAUCACUCCUGAAGCACAAGUAAAAUUCCCUUUUGUGACACCAGACGAAGCCGGACAAUUUACCAUGAUGCAUUUUGGCUAGUUCACUUGAUGAAUUUAAUCGUUUCAUGAAAACAAUACUUGAUAAUAAUAAUUACUUGAUGAUUAGGUCAUUGAAGCGCAAGAUUAUAAAAAAUAUGUUAUAUAUGGAAAACUAGAAGCUGUUCUAGAGUGGUUAUUUGUUCUACUAGUUAAUAACUAGUUAUUAUAUCACAAUUUUCUUCGUUAUUCCUAUGAGAACAUUUUUUAGAUCAAUCAAUUGUAUUUUUUUAUAAAAACAUAAAAUAAAAUAAGACAUUUUUUAAAUUUUAAA
Long non-coding RNA from Daktulosphaira vitifoliae (grape phylloxera), 1370 nucleotides. RefSeq lists it as uncharacterized. Lineage: Eukaryota; Metazoa; Arthropoda; Insecta; Hemiptera; Phylloxeridae. The record is from RefSeq and is a predicted model, not a curated record. The transcript is spliced from 2 exons.